Mycena floridula is the source of this 96-nucleotide non-coding RNA. The record is from the annotation of a GenBank genome assembly. Lineage: Eukaryota; Fungi; Basidiomycota; Agaricomycetes; Agaricales; Mycenaceae.
GGCCGGUUAGCUCAGUUGGUUAGAGCGUGGUGCUAAUAUAACAAGCCAAAAUCGUCUAAUACGCCAAGGUCAAGGGUUCGACCCCCUUACGGGCCA